UACGUAGGGGGCCAGCGUUGUUCGGAAUUACUGGGCGUAAAGGGUUCGUAGGCGGUGCGGCAAGUCGGGAGUGAAAUCUCUGGGCUUAACCCAGAGGCUGCUUCCGAAACUGCUGUGCUUGAGUGUGGGAGAGGCGCGUGGAAUUGCAGGUGUAGCGGUGAAAUGCGUAGAUAUCUGCAGGAACACCCGUGGCGAAGGCGGCUCACUGGUCCAUUACUGACGCUGAGGUGCGAAAGCGUGGGGAGCAAACAGG
This 253-nucleotide ribosomal RNA is filed under the name uncultured bacterium. Its description in RNAcentral is "partial 16S ribosomal RNA". It matches the Rfam family "Bacterial small subunit ribosomal RNA", at positions 524 to 776 of the family's 1533-position model. The record is from RNAcentral.